RNA transcript from Bactrocera dorsalis (oriental fruit fly), 6750 nucleotides. It is a transcript of the gene named guanine nucleotide exchange factor DBS, with no coding region annotated. NCBI's taxonomy places the organism in Eukaryota, Metazoa, Arthropoda, Insecta, Diptera, Tephritidae. The transcript is spliced from 10 exons. The record is from RefSeq and is a predicted model, not a curated record.
ACUCAUACUUCGUACAUGUUCGAUCAAACACAUGCGGACCGUUUGUUCGUUUAUUCCGUCGCUUUAGAGCCAAAGCUGCUGGUGACCACAAACUCGGCUUAGUGCAGCAAACAGUUUAAGCCGAAACAUUGACGAGUUAACAACGAUGAGCGGUUGAAAUGGUGUUGGUUAUUGUGGAAACUAAAAAGUGUUGUAUACAGCUAACAAAAACAACAAUGAUGGGCAGAAAUGAAAGCAAAUUAAUUGUAAACUAUAAGUGAUGAAUGCGCUUGCGCCAACGACAAUGGGCAAUAGUGGCUAAUCAGUGAUCGGAAGAUUAAAAAAAAUAAUAAAAUGAAAUAAAUAAAUCCUAAAACAAAUAGAAAAAAGUGUGUAGUGUUAUUAGUGUUGAAUUUUAUGGCGCAAUGAUGCUUAGUUUCUAUUAUUGAUUAAGCCGAGCCAAUUUCAAACCGUCUCAUUGAGUUUUAUAUAAUUGUGAAAAUAUUGAAAUAAACGUAUUACUUGUUUAUUGUGUUUAAAGUGAUAAGUAAAAAUAUUACGAUUCUACGACAAAGAAAAAAAAUCAGCCAAUACGAAAACGAAAUCGAUAAAAUAUAUAAUAGAAAAGCGAAAAAGUGUACGAAGUGUAUUUAUAUGCGGCGCCGCGCAGGCGCAUGCCAAAGUGCAAAGUGUAAUUGCCAUACAAUGAAAUUAAUCAAUUAAUUGCAACAGUGUGCAAAGCGAGAAAAUAAAUAUGUAAAUUGCCUGCGCCAAUUAAAGAAUAUAAAGAAUAUCAAAGUGCAAGAAACUAGUGCAGAGCAAUAAAAAUGCCACACAACAAAUUGCAGCGCAAGCCAUCCAGCGAGACGCUCGCCAGCAUGGCAUUGGAUAGUACGCUGGACUCGCGCAUGUCCAGCGCCGAAAUACCGCAAAUGGAAUUGCUCAAGGUGAACUAUGUGCAACAGUGCAAGGAAGUGCGCAUGCCGCGGCCCACCGCUGCAACGGCGCAACAAAAGCGCCACGCGCUCAUGGCUGUAGGCGCCAAAUAUCCAGGCUACAAGGAGGCUAUUGACAGUAGUCACAAUCAGUUUGUUGGCGCCAAAGCAAAUAUAAACCAUCAAUGUAAUUCAAAUGUGAGCGCGCUCAAUGCACCGCAACGCGUCGCACCGCUUAAGAGCAAUAUGUCAGCGCGCACAAAGCAACCGCUGCCGCCGCCCACCAUUGAGUCGUGGCAGUUUUUGCAACAUCAAAUGCCGCAAGCAAAAGCUCAAUAUCCGCAACAACAGCAACAAAAGUUGGCGUGCACUGCCCCUCCCUCCAAAUUACAGGCGCAGCAAGCGCCAACACAUGCCACUACUAGCGCGAACAAAGCCGCACACUCUGAUGACGAUCAAGAUUAUGUGGAUGUACAGUCGUGUUGCAACUCCUCCUGUGAAUCUGCCACGCUGUCUUCAGCUUCCUCAGAUGAAGAUUUAGAUGAUGGCGCCUCUACGGUGUAUCCUGAUUGCGAGAAAUCACAUAGCUGGAACUAUCGUGCGCGCAUCUCUACUUGUGAUAUACGCCGCGAUAUUGCGCGCGCUGGUAUAAAGUCGCGCGCCGACCGCAUAGCGCGUAUUGAAAAAACGGACGCCGAGCCUCAACAACAGCAAAGCGCAACGGUUGGUUUAGUUGCUGGUGAAAAGCAGUCUACAGCGCAGACCGCUUCACAGCAACAACACUGCGGCAACAAGCAAAUACCGGCAGCUGCCUCAGUGCCAACCGCUUCACAGCAAGGUGGCGGCAAGCCAAUACCGGCAGCUGUAACGCAAAUUAAUCGGCUCUUCGAGCAAGCAAAACGACCGGAACAGAGGCGUUCAACAAAGCAACAUCGCGCGCCAGCACCGCCGCAAUCAAGUAAUGCAACGCAAACUACUACAGUAACGCAACCAUUACGCGCGGCGCCAACGCCCAUAAAGGAACCCAAUAUGCGCAUGCGCGCGCGCGAUAUGUUGCCGCGCAUUGACGAGCGCUCCAGCGCGUCUGGUGAUUGCUAUGAUUGCAUGUUGGAAAGUAAUAACAACGCAAGCGAAGAUCAAAAAGUGCGCGUUAACGCUGAAGCAGCGCGCCUACCGCGCUCGUCACCUGAACAGCGGCAACAAGUGUCGCGCAUACCGAAACCCAUAAGUGAAGCGCCACAGCAACAAAUACAACAGCAACGAAUGCAACAGCAACAAACACAAAAACAACAAGAACAACAACAACAACAAACACACAAACAACAAGUACAACAGCAACAACCACAACAGCAACAACCACAACAGCGACACUCUAGCAACUCCGCGCUGCUCUACAAUGAGGCAAAUGAGCAACUGCAACGGCGCAUACGCCAAAUGUUCGAUCAUGAGCAGGCGCGCACACAUCAGCUACAGCGACAAGUUACCGACGAGUUUCGCAUGCAAUGCGCGGGUGAGAAAAUAAAACUGCGCGCCACUAAAUCGAACGCACUCGAAGCGGCAGAUAAACCUGAACGCGGUAAUAUGCGUAAGUCUGAUAGCUGCGAUGAGCUCGAUAAGAUCGAUAAGCACCUGUCCAAGCAGACGCGCCAGCACGUUGCGACCAAUUUUCAAAAGAUCAAAAUGGAGCGCGUACAUAUACGUAAGAAACGCCAGCCGCUGCUUAUAAUUAAUCAGCUCAAUGAGUCAAAAGCUGAUAAUAACGACAGAACAUUGGAGGAAAGCGCGCACGAAAUGCGUGAAACGAAAUGCAACGCGUUACACAAGCCAACGAAGGAAGCAGCUGCGAAGCCUACGCACGACGCCAGCCGACGCACAUGCGGCUACAAGAACUGCACCUUCACCAACUGCCCCAUGUCGGCCGCGAGCAAGCCAGCUGGCGGCAGCAGCGGCACGAGCACGCCACAGCAAUCCGAUGAGGAGUUGAAUACGCGCAAGCGCCUGUCGCUCGAGAGCUGCUGCUCAGACUCUGGCGUCUCCUCGUCCACCGACAUUAAGGAGCGCAAAACCAAGGAGAACAACAUGAAGAAUAUCGAGAAAUGCGCGGACUGUGUGAAAAUACUGCUACACCAAACGAGCGCCGACACAACCGUAAUGCAGCACAAGCUGAACCUAACCACAACUGCGCCAGUGCCAAAGCUGAAGGAACUGGAUGGUGACUUGCAGAAGGAGGGGCAAAUUAAGAUACGCGUCGGCAAAGCGCCCGGCGGCGAUCCGAACGAUUUGCAAAAUUUCGCAAAAAAAAAUCUCACAAAGGCCACGACGGAUGAGCUAUUAACCGCGGCCGUGGCGAAAAACAACAUGUGCAACAAAGUGGGCGCUGCUGAUAAGUUGUCUAACCGGACUGUGGCCGCAAGCGCCAGCCAUGCCGCCAACCACACCAAACAGUGCAACAUCGAAAAUGACCUCAAAAUCAACGAACAGCGCAUUUACAAUAACACGAGUUGCUGCAGCAGCAGCAACAACAACAGCAAUCACAGUUGUGGUGGCAACAAACUGAACGGUAGUGAACGCCAACCGUUAUGUGCAACAACAAUAAAAAUCGAUGAUAAUUGGUUGCACGCGCAACAAAAUACCUGCGAUUUGGACUCGUUGAUGGUGCCGCCAUCGCCACCGCUGCGCGUCUCCUCCAAAGCGGCAAGCGCACGUCAACAGGCCACGAGUAACAACGGUAAACACAGCGCUAUUGGUGAUAACGAUAAACACAGUGUAAAGAUUUUCGUGCGCAGCUCCAGUAACAGCGGCGGCGUGGGCGUCAAUCCAGCGCGCGCCUCAUCCGUAUCCAUGUGCUCAUACACUUCGCAGACCUCGGGCUGCUCGAUGAAUUCAGAAGCCUCUGCGCUCACUAGCGCCAGCAAAGCGUCAACAUCUGGCAGCUCCUACACAACGAUUUCGAGCAGCGCUUCGAGUAGUGAAGGCAAAUGUAAUUGUCAGCGAGCGCGGCGUAACGCCAACGCGGUGGCAAAAAAUCAGUUAGACGAGCGAGCAGAUGAAUCCGAGGAUACCGACUACUAUUGCAGUCUAGAGCACAUGCAUAAAGCAGGCAUUUUUUACAAUCACAUCUCAGGCGGUACAAAAAGUAGCCGCGGCACACAGAGCGACACGUUGCGUGCAUGCGCCUCCUCACCAACGCCCUCAAUGGGCACCUUCAGUGAGGUUAGCUGCGUUGCGUGCGGCGAUGAGCGCGAACAGCAAGCAAAAAGCCGUCAAAGCAUAGGCAGCAACGGUCCUAUUGACGGCGUCUUCUGGAAUAACACAUAUUUUCAACAAGACGCUGAUGCAACUUUAGAGAACGCUGGCAAUGUGCCACACAAAAAGCGCUCCUUAACAGACGGCGCGCCAGCUGAGCACAGCGAACCGAGUAGCGAUGACAACGAGCAUUGCUGCUGCAGUCUAACUAGCUGUGAUGAUGACAAUUGUUCUUACUAUGAGUGCGGUGGCGGUGUGCAAACGGAUGAUGAUCAUUGCGUGUCGCGCAUCGAAGUGCACGCCAGCGUGCAUACGCCGAGCGGCGAUAGUGAAAGUAAUAAUGAUGAUUAUAAAGCGGCAGCUGGCAAUAAAAGUAAAAGCGUUGUGGCUGCUAAUAACGUUUGUAAUUGUGACGCGCGUCAUUACUGUGCGGAAAAAACGAGUGCAAAAGAUAAAUAUGCGCUCGAGGUGGAGCGGCAGCAUGCGCGGGAGCGUGAGCGCUAUGCCGCGCGCCAACAGCAACAGCAGGAACAGCAGUGGCUGCGGCAACGCAUGCGCGAACGCGAACGGCAAAUGCAAUUCAUACGAAACAGCAGCGCAGAGGAGAUACUGAUACGCAAUAAAAAGCUGUUGAGGAAGGCUGAUUUAAUACAUGAAUUUCGACCACGAUCGAUGGAUGGUGUCAUUGACUCAUCUUCGGGCUCAUUAAAUGGUGAUACCACCGGUUCAAGUCCAGAUAGUGCGAGUCAUUUACAAAAUCAGCAGGACGCCGAAGCGCGACGCGUACAUCGAGGUCAUGUACUCACCGAACUACUGGAAACAGAACGGAUUUAUGUAAAUGAAAUGGCCUCUAUUCUAAAGGGCUAUCGUGAUCAAAUGCUAUCUGAAGAAAUGAUGCAUCUUGUACCCGCCAGCCUGCAAGGCAAAGAGGAUAUACUGUUCGGCAAUUUAAACGAAUUAUAUACGUUUCAUAAUGAGAUCUUCCUUAAGGAUCUGGAAAAUUGUAUAUCAACAACAGAGUUGGUGGCGCUAUGUUUUGUUCAGAGGCGCGACACCUUCUAUCGUUUGUACUCUUUCUACUGCCAAAAUAUACCGCGCUCCGAUCGAUUGCGCGAGACGCUCGUCGAUACACAUCUCUUCCUGCAAGAAUGUCAAAAGCGUUUGGGACACAAACUGCCAUUGGGCGCUUAUCUGCUGAAGCCCGUGCAGCGCAUUACCAAGUACAAAUUACUGCUCGAGAAUUUGCUCAGCUCCAGCGACAGCGGCAGCUGUACCAAAGAAUUGCAAAAAGCCUUAGAUUGCAUGUUGAUUGUGUUGCGUUGUGUGAACGACUCGAUGCAUCAAGUGGCUAUAACGGGAUUCCCGAGCAAUCUUUCGCAACAAGGCGAACUGCUGCUGCAGGAUCCCUUUCAAGUGUGGACCGAGUCGAAAAAGGAUUUGCGACUGCGCAAGAAACCGCAACAGCGACACAUAUUUCUCUAUCAAAAGUCGAUGAUUUUCUGCAAGAAAACCUCAAAGCCCGGUCACAACAAGAGCACUUAUCAGUUCAAGCAUCAAUUGAAGAUGUCACAAAUCGGGCUCACCGAAUCGGUACGCGGCGAUUCCACACGCUUCGAAGUCUGGCUGCAAGGACGCCAAGAAGUCCACACGAUACAAGCGCCCGGCGAAGAGGUUAAAAACAAGUGGGUCACCGAAAUCAAACGUCUGCUACUGAACCAGCUGGAAGAGCUGAAGGGUGAGAAAAUCAAACAGUACAGCAUGAAUCAUCAUGGCCUCAGACAGACCACCUCAUGGGACACGCCCAACAUACUGCUGGGCAUGCCACAGCGCGCCGUCAGCUGCGAUGCAUCUUCGGAGUCGUCGAAUCGCAAUUCCAACUGCAGCAGUAGCGGUGAUGAUGCUUACCCGCACGGCAUACCGCAACUGAGCACGACGACGGGCAAUGGCCACGCGCAUGCGCAUGCCAACGGCGGUAGCGGCGUGGAUAAGGAACAGCAAGAAGCAUGCGGCUGGAGCUCGGACUACUCGAACAGUGAGGACGAAAUGUCGAUCAUUGAGGAUAACAGCGCGCCGCGUUUUAUGAAUUUUCUGUCUCAGUGGACCUACAAUGCCGAUAGUAAUGGUGGUGGCUCUUAUCCGCGUAGCAGUAAGUCAAAUUCCAAAUUCUAUGUCUCCGUCGAGCACUGAGCAGCUGAGUAAGCCAGGUUCAAGAGCAGAGAAUUCCGAAAAAUACAAAAUAGCAUACAACAACAAAAUGGAUGGCGCACCAACAAAUUACCAAAACCAAAACGAAAAAAGGCAGUAAAUUUGUUGCCCUUGCCGAUUAUGCGGCUAUGGGACACUCGGAGGUCUCAAUGCGCGAAGGUGAUGCGAUUGAAUUGUUGAAGGUGGGCUGUGCUGGCUGGUGGUUUGUGCGUGUUUUAGAAGCCAAUGCAGAGGGUUGGACUCCAGCGGCAUAUUUGGAACCGCUCAAUCGAAAAUCUUCUCGAAGCUCGAGCCGCAAUCAGGAGCGAAUAAACUUAACCAAAUGUGCUGAGUAAAUUAACAAACAACAAAAACAAAACAUAAAUUUAUUAAGCGGUACGAAGUA